This is a long non-coding RNA of Canis lupus familiaris (dog), 5142 nucleotides long. RefSeq lists it as uncharacterized. The record is from RefSeq and is a predicted model, not a curated record. The transcript has 2 exons. Lineage: Eukaryota; Metazoa; Chordata; Mammalia; Carnivora; Canidae.
CUUCUCCCUCUGCCUGUGUCUCUGCCUCUCUCUCUCUCUCUCUGUGUGUGACUAUCAUAAAUAAAUUAAAAAAAAAUUUAAAAAAAAUGUGUUGAUUUGGGAGUGUGGUCCUAGACCCCAUUGAAAGAAGGAGUCAGCACGUGCACCGUGUUACCUUUGUAAAUCAUGAAAAACUAUGAUUUUGGAAAUACUUUCAGGAUACAGUCAUUUUGGCCCUGUCCUAUAAUGCCACACAAAAGAGGACUGGAUAAUUAAUUCUAGACAUCCUUGUGACACAGUACUACGGAGCUAAUCAAAAGCAAAUCCGUGAAAACUUAAGGACAUAGGAAAACAUCUCCAGCAGAUUGUUAUAAAUUAUUUAUGUAAAUUUGAAAAAGAGCACAUGGAAUCUGAUCUUAAGUUUAUAUUAAAAGAUAUUCCUUAUGCAUAGAAAAAGCUUGGAAUGCAGCUUCCCGUAAUGUUAAUAGGGAGUUGUCUCUGUGGUGCCUCUGGUUUUAGCCUUUCCAGGAUCUAUGUAAUUCUUUUAUAACAGAAUUUUUUUUUAAACCACUGUUACUAAAAACAACUUGGUACCCACACUUUUGACUGUGUGGUCUCAGACAAAACACGUGAUCAACCCGAGCCCGAUUUUCUGUUUUGUAAGUUGAGACCAUCAGUGCCGACUUGACAGAGUUGCUGAGAGACAAACUCCCCGGGCAGAGGCAGGCUUGGUGGGGGCGGUUUUAAUAAUAGCACCGGGACCCCACGUACAAGGCUCGUCUUGGGCGGCAGCAGGAUGAGUAGAUCCCUGGGCCUGCUCCAAUCUUAAAAGCCCAUGAAGGGGACCUCCCCAGCCUCACAUGCCCUGCAGGGGUUUUCAACAUCGUGGAGCCACUCAAGGCCGAGUCCCCAGGGCAGCCUCUGGGGGCGGAAAGGCAAGAGGAACCCACGUGCCCAGGACAGCGGCGGCGGCAAGGAGCCCGGGGUCCCUAGGUCCAGCUCGCAGACCAGUCUGUGGUCAUGUCUUUUUUCCAUCGCCUUCCCCAGUGGGACCAGAUCAUGCGAGGCCUUGAGCCCCUGGUAAGGACUCAGAUUUGUAUUCAUCAAUUAUGAAAAAAGGAUUCCUCAAUGACCCACGAGUGGUCGUUCUCAAAACUUCAACCUCUCCAACUACUCCAGAGCAAAGGACACUUUAACCUUCAUUCAUUUAAGAAAUUGUUGUUGCUAAAAAAACAAAACAAACAGACAGAAAACAGCCUAGCGGUUGCCAGAGGAAGGGGUUGGGGGAGAUGGGUAACAUUAAAGGGCACAAACUUCCAGGUUUAAGAUAAACUAACCAAGGAGAUGUCGUAUACAGCGUAGGGAAUGUCGGUAACAAUAUCCACAACCUGUGCGAAGACAGACGCUAGCUGGGCCUGGGCCUAUCACCGUGACCACUUUUUUUCCUCUUGGGGGUGAGAGGAAGGAGAGAAGGAGGGAGCAGGAGCAGGGCAGUGGGAGCAGCGGGAGAGGCAGGGGGAGAGGGAGAGGCAGACUCCCCACUGAGCCUGGAGCCAGGAGCCGGACUUGGGGUCCCACCUGGGUUUCCUUCAGCUCAGGACCCUGAGAUCAUGACCCGAGCUGAAGGCAGGCGCUUAACCAAUUGAGCCAGGGUCUAGGCGGCCCUCACAGUGGUCACUUCUUAACGUAUACACACGUUGAACCGGACGUUGUACCCCUGAAACGAAUACAAUAUUGCAUGCGGGUCCCCCGGGGUGCUGGGACGGGCCUCACUGGGCGCACAGCAGUGAGGCUGGGCCGAGGCCCUGCGGCCAGGUCCCCGCCGGGAGUGCAGAGCCGGAACAGGAACAGGAGCGAGAUCGGGGUCCUGUGGGGACACAGAGGUGACGCCACCGCCCCUCUGGCCUCUCCUGGCCGCGGCUUCAUCCGAGCAUCAUCUUCCUCGUCUCUUCUUCAGUCUGUGGCCCCAGCGCAGUCCCGUCUUGGAAGGACGGAGCUCGGACCCUGCCUCUUCCACAGCUUCCCUCAGGGUCACCCCCUGGUCGUGGGUGCCUCUCGUGUGACUCUCCCAGCACCUCACUCCUGUCUUUCCAGGAUCCCCCCAGUUCUUUUUUAAUUCAUGAGAGACCCAGGGAGAGAGGCAGAGGCGCAGGCCGAGGGAGAGGCAGGCCCCCUGCAGGGACUGACCGGGCUCACGGCCUGGCCCGAGGCAGACGCCCCACCGCUGAGCCCCCGGGCGCCCCAAUUCUCCCGGUUCUGGCCUGAACCGCGCGUGCCCUUGUGUGCAUGGUCCGUCCCGUCAUCGCCCCAGUGCUCCCCGCCGGCACUGGCAGGACACUUCGGCAGAAUCUUUUUAUUUUUUUAAAGAUUUCACCUGUCCGUUCAUGAAAGACACGGGGAGAGGCCGAAGGAGAGGCCGAGGGAGAGGCAGGCUCCACGCAGGGACCCGAGGUCAUGCCCCGGGCCCAAGGCAGGUGCCAAACCGUUGAGCCCCCCGGGGAUCUUGUCCAGAAUCUUGUCGUCUUUGCCCCACACGGAAUCUUUGAUCAGAUGUCGCUCGUGUCAGUGUUUCCAGAAAGGAAGGGGCGGCGUCCACACUGAGCCGGACACCGGAGUAGCAGCUGAGGGAGGCCGCGGCUUCCUGGUCCCGGGAGGGGGGUGAGCCGGCCCCCCGAGGAGCGCACGGGCCGGCCCCUCCCUGCCCUGUGUCCUUGCAUUGACCCCUGAGCUUGUCCAGGGGCGGCCGAGGCCUGAGCGGGCCCAGCGGGCCGUGGCCUCUCGUCUUUCGGUCUUUGACUUUGGGUUCCUAAAACCUAGGGAGGGAAAUGAGCUCGUUCCCCAGGAGGGAAAUGAAACUCCUGAAGACUCCCCCAGCCGCCAGCUGACGUGGGGCAAGAGGACGAUUCCCAGUUCGGGCCCCAAAGGAAAUCCCCUCCGGGUCAUGUGCUGAGGCCGAAGGGGGGGCGGCGGGGUGAAGGGGGAGCCACCCCAGGCGGAGGUCGCUCGGGAGCCUUCCCCGAAGGGGGGCCCAAGACACCCUGGGGAUGGGGAUGGGGUGGGAGGGCUGCGGCGCCGAGGAGAGACCUUGCAAGUAAGGGAGGUCGGAGGGGCCAACACUCGCUCUGUGUUUAGGGAAACUGAGCGGAUCGGCCUGGAUGGAGCCGCCGUCUCCCCAGCCCCAGCCGUGCAGACGCCAGCCCCAGCCGUGCAGACGCCGAGAGGAGGGAAGGCCGAGGGACAGGAGGCGGCCCGGCCCUGACGCCAUGAACAAGCAGGAGGCCGAGAAGGCGGCCAGUCCCCUGUUGGAGAAAAGGCCCGAGAGUCUUGGCCUGGGACAGGACUGCGGCCCAAGAGGGCCUUGCCUGCCUCGCCAACUGGCCUCACGACGGGAGCUGCGGCGCCAGAGGGCUGGUCUCCAGACGCGUCCACAAGCGUCUCCCGUGAGUCCACCCGGGCCGUGCACCGCCAACGGCCACUCAGCUGCCUCAGCCGGGCCCGACUGCAGACGAGGCGAGGAAGAAGCAGAGGUCGUUGGCCUGGGCUGAGAAGAAAGUUGUGGGCAAAGACAUUGCUCCACUCAGAGGCUGCCGUCCUCCAGGCUGGGAUCCAACUGUCGCUAGAAGGUUCAGCUGGUAGUGAUUGCACGUGACGUGGAUCCCAUCGAGCUGGUGUCCUCCUGUCUGUCCUGCGUGGUGGGAUGGGGUCCCCAUCGCGUUAGCAAGGGGAGCGCCGGGAAGGGGCGCCUGGUCCCCGUGAAGACCUGCCCCUCUGUCGCCCUCACACAGGUUAACUCGGAAGACGGAGGAGCUCUGGCUAAGCUGAUGAAGCCGUCGGCACCAAGCACGACAGAUACGAUGUCCACCCUCACCGGGGUGGCUCACACGGCCAAGCUGGAAAAGACAAAGGCUAAAGAACUGGCCUCCAAACUGGGCUGAGCGGACGCUGGUUGAAUCUUCUGUGCAGAAAAGUAAUGAGAAGUUCUCUUUCAAAUAAGAAAAAAAAGACUGGAUGAAACCCGCGUGUAGAUGCACGUCGAAGAAUGGAAGGUAACACUGAGGAGAGGCCACGGGCGAGACCAGGCUCCAUGAGGCAUCUGGACUUUCUCCUCCAGUUGAGAAGUACCCAGGUCCUUGCUUUUACCUCAGGCUCCUCGGAAAUCCUGGUGUCCUGCUUGACACAAAACUUGGCUUUGUCACGGUUGAGGAGAUGAGCACAGGCCCCGCACACGGAGAGGGCUCAAGGCAAAAGGCACGUGGUCCCCCGACUCCCAGCACCCCAAGGAGGGAUGAGCCUGGCCGGGCAGGGGGUUCGCAGCCGGGGUGGAUUCCGGGGGAGGCACCCUCACCUGCUCUGCCCUGAGCGGCCUGCUCGGGAGGGGGUCCGGCCCUGGGCUGUGCAGCCGGGCUCACGGCCUUCUGGAAGGAAAACAGUGUCGUUUUCAUUGAUGUCAGCUCUCGUCGUCGUAGGUCCGUUCAGCUUGCUCCCGACUGGACGGAGACGUUGGUGCUGUUUGCCCACAGCCUGGCUUGUCCCCGCUCAUCCAUCAAGACCGUUUUUUUUUUUUUUUUUUUUUAUGAUAGUCACACAGAGAGAGAGAGAGAGAGAGAGGCAGAGACACAGGCAGAGGGAGAAGCAGGCUCCAUGCACCGGGAGCCCGACGUGGGAUUCGAUCCCGGGUCUCCAGGAUCGCGCCCUGGGCCAAAGGCAGUCGCCAAACCACUGCGCCACCCAGGGAUCCCCAGGACCAUUUAUUUUCUAAGGACUUUUUUGAGGGGCAGCAGCUCCCGUCCUCAGAAGAGAUUCUGUGAAGAUCCUAAACGUAUAAAACAUUUACAAGUGGAAUUGCUUGGGGUAAGGAGGGGACGGAUUGCCUGGAGUCCCACGGGAUGGACAUUCCAAGGAUAAUAAUGCCAUACGGAAUCACAAAUCAACAGGCUCCAAGCGAUGCAAGCCAGCCCUCCAGGAUACUUCAGCCCUCUCGCUCUGAUGGGAAAGAACAGAACUGGAGAUGCCUUCUCUGCCCCUCCGAGGGUGGCUGCCUGCAUUUCUCACUUGGGAGGCAGCAGACGCUGUAAAUAUUUUGCCUUCUCCACUGGAUUCAAGCUCCUUGAGAACAGGAGCUGUGAGAUAAUGCACAUAAAGCUCUUACCAUAGUGCCUGGCA